This 66-nucleotide transfer RNA is filed under the name Stenamma impar. RNAcentral's name for it is "tRNA-Pro". The record is from RNAcentral. Lineage: Eukaryota; Metazoa; Arthropoda; Insecta; Hymenoptera; Formicidae.
CAAAGAAUAGUUUAGGUAGAAUUUUAAUUUUGGAGAUUAGAGGCAUAAGUAUAAUUAUUUUUUUGA